Molecule: ribosomal RNA, 206 nt
Filed under: Streptococcus thermophilus
Lineage: Bacteria; Bacillati; Bacillota; Bacilli; Lactobacillales; Streptococcaceae
Description: partial 16S ribosomal RNA
Rfam family: Bacterial small subunit ribosomal RNA
Source: RNAcentral
ACGCUGAAGAGAGGAGCUUGCUCUUCUUGGAUGAGUUGCGAACGGGUGAGUUAACGCGUAGGUAACCUGCCUUGUAGCGGGGGAUAACUAUUGGAAACGAUAGCUAAUACCGCAUAACAAUGGAUGACACAUGUCAUUUAUUUGAAAGGGGCAAUUGCUCCACUACAAGAUGGACCUGCGUUGUAUUAGCUAGUAGGUGAGGUAAU